CUAAUUAGCUUGUAAGCUCAUAUAGUUUGGUCUUUUAAUUAGACGGACAUGCUACAAUAAGCGAUGACCACUAUCACGAAUUCAGUCAAUCAUAUUCACUGCUGGCAUUGUUCCUAUUGACCAUAGAUACAAUGCACACAUAUAAUCCACGUUGCAAUACUGGUGCGUAUGGCGGCAAAAAUGGUGGCGUUCUAGCGUUCGCGCGCGCGGACCACCACAACAAGACCGUUGACUGUCUUUCUGCAGCACAGGCCCACACUUAUGGUGCACCUCAUUUAGCAAGACAUCCAGUGACAUCCGAGGAUUUUUACCUGAGGGUGCCUUACACUUCGCCGGGUGUGACCGUGUUCGGGGUGUCGGAUCUCCCGCCCAAGACCUUUGACGCUCUUAGGAGAGCCUGCUCUGAAAAUGAGCAGACUCUGGAUAGUGUUGCAUAGGUCGUGCGUAGAGCUGGAAGUAGCAGGUCGGGACGGGGCACUUAAGCUACUGGCCGACCUUAAGGUAAUGUAAGCUUACAUUGCCGCCCGUUGGCUGGUCCGCGAGUUUUAGGUCUUGGGUCCGGAGCGGCGGUAAGUGCCUGGACCUUUUGAUAGGAAUAUUUAUUGGCUUCACUGGCGGCUUCUCGCUGGCGGCGGUCCCCAAUUUGCUCUGCCUACGUACGCCUCUUCGUCCUCCUCCUUGCAUCUAGGCUGCAGCUGUGUGCCUUACCCUUAGGUCUAGGUUUCUACACAAGGCAUGUUUUGGUGCGUCAAUGUUGAUAAUUGGGCAUUCACAAGUGAUUGGUGAAGACAUGUAUGUUUGCGUGUGUAGACAGGCGAGACAGGUGCAGGUGAAUGUAAACAUGGGUUACCCUGUCUGUUACCCAUCAGUAGUGUAUUACCCCGACCCCUUUGUUACCCCUCAGUAAGGGGUUACCCCUACCCCGGGGUUAGGUUACCCACCUCCCUUCGUACAUAGCCACAUGGGUAACCCCUAACCCUACACCCUGGGUUACGCUUAAGGGGGGGUUACCCCCCGUUUUAUGCCAUAGGGAGUUUGAGACCGCAGAUGCAACAGCAGCAAAUGCAGCAUCAACUGUCGUCGAAGCCAUCGCAACAACAGACCACGCAAUUGCAGGUAACGAAGCUGCAACAGGGACAGUUGGAGCCAGUGCAGCAAUAUCCUGCCUCAUUACC
Molecule: long non-coding RNA, 1175 nt
Filed under: Volvox carteri
Lineage: Eukaryota; Viridiplantae; Chlorophyta; Chlorophyceae; Chlamydomonadales; Volvocaceae
Description: long non-coding RNA (VCAR_LNC003369)
Source: RNAcentral